CACGUAGGAGACAAGCGUUAUCCGGAUUUACUGGGUGUAAAGCGCGUGCAGGCGGUAGGAUAAGUUGGAUGUGAAAGCUCCUGGCUUAACUGGGAGAGGUCGUUCAAGACUGUCUUACUAGAGUGCAGCAGAGGGGAGUGGAAUUCCGAGUGUAGCGGUAAAAUGCAUAGAUAUUCGGAAGAACACCAGUGGCGAAGGCGGCUCUCUGGGCUGCAACUGACGCUCAGACGCGAAAGCUAGGGUAGCGAACGGG
This 253-nucleotide ribosomal RNA is filed under the name uncultured bacterium. RNAcentral describes it as "partial 16S ribosomal RNA". It matches the Rfam family "Bacterial small subunit ribosomal RNA", at positions 524 to 776 of the family's 1533-position model. The record is from RNAcentral.